ACAUCAGCCAUACCACCCUGAACACGCCCGAUCUCGUCUGAUCUCGGAAGCUAAGCAGGGUCGGGCCUGGUUAGUACUUGGAUGGGAGACCGCCUGGGAAUACCAGGUGCUGUAAGUG
This is a ribosomal RNA of Gadus morhua (Atlantic cod), 118 nucleotides long. NCBI's taxonomy places the organism in Eukaryota, Metazoa, Chordata, Actinopteri, Gadiformes, Gadidae. The record is from Ensembl.